This 253-nucleotide ribosomal RNA is filed under the name uncultured bacterium. RNAcentral describes it as "partial 16S ribosomal RNA". It matches the Rfam family "Bacterial small subunit ribosomal RNA", at positions 524 to 776 of the family's 1533-position model. The record is from RNAcentral.
UACAGAGGUGGCAGGCGUUGUUCGGAAUUACUGGGCGUAAAGGGCGCGUAGGCGGCCUUCUAAGUCAGACGUGAAAUCCCCCGGCUUAACCUGGGAACUGCGUCUGAUACUGGAAGGCUUGAGUGCGGGAGAGGGAUGUGGAAUUCCAGGUGUAGCGGUGAAAUGCGUAGAUAUCUGGAGGAACACCGGUGGCGAAGGCGGCAUCCUGGACCGACACUGACGCUGAGGCGCGAAAGCUAGGGUAGCAAACGGG